Molecule: non-coding RNA, 75 nt
Organism: Trichonephila clavipes
Lineage: Eukaryota; Metazoa; Arthropoda; Arachnida; Araneae; Nephilidae
Source: the annotation of a GenBank genome assembly
GUCUCCCUGUUGCGCGAUGGAUAGCGCAUUAGACUUCUAAUCCUAAAGUUAUGGGUUCGAAUCCCACCUGAGAUG